AUACGGUUUAUUUUUUUUUGUCCCGUUAGAUAUAAGUGAACGGUGACAGAGUAGUGAGUGUGAAGUGUUCAAGAGUUGUAGGGAUACUCGGGAGAGCCGUAAACCGGGGUGUCGUACAUCUAUCAUUUCCCGUGAUAAUAUCAUCUCCUGCAGUGUGCAAGAAGGCAGGUGUCUCUAUCUUUAUUAGAGACUCACUGGCAAUAACCAUCCAUCAACAGAUUACUGACGUAAAUGGUUGUUAUGUGAUUUUGGUGGAACAAAACUAGUUGUUGGGGCUACCGACGCAUCUAGUGGUUGGCCGCUCGCCUCAAAGCACUAGGACAUGCGCUUAUCACCCUAAUAUUCUAGGGUACCACAAAGUCACACCGCUGCUGAAGCCGGGAGGCCGCAGGAAGCAGGGGAGAACCCAAUCCUAGAAUAGUUGCAGAAGGAGACGAAGGAAGAAGACCAGGCGCUGCUGAUACUUGACCCAAGAAUGUGGACGGAGGCAGAAUUGGAUAUAAAAGAUCCCUCGGCAGGUUUAAGCGUUUCAAGUGAAACACCCUCUUCCUCAGGUCUAGUUACAAUAGGCACAGUAGGGUAUAAAUAGUGUGAAGAGUGGGAAAAUUGGCGCCAAAGAACAAGUGGGCGAAGCUACAGGUGAAUCCAAAAGAGGAAGUGUCAGUAAGUUACAUAAAUAUUCAGCAAAAUAGUUGUAAACAUACAUGCACGCAUUACUAAAGGCAUACCGCGUGGUACAUAUGACUGCUUCAGCUGCCGCUGGAUAGCCGUUUAAUGUUCCUCGUGUGCUCCGGUGAGUGUCACUCACUUGUCCCCGACAUUCCGGACCGUCCUCUUCAUGCUCCGCUGCAUGGCCGUCGCUCUCCUUCGUCGUCAUCAUGUCACCGCGCACGCUAUCCCAUCAUCCUGUGGCGUGCGCAGCGACAUUAUGAUGUUGAUGGAGAGCGACGAUCCAGGGCGGUGGUGACGGGCCAGAGCGGCGGGGACAUGAUGAUGGCGAUGGAGAUGGACGACCCAGGGCAGCGGUGACGGUCCGUAGCAGCAGGGACACCCCGGGGACGUGAUGACGGCAAUGGAGCGAGACGAUCCAGGGCAGCAGUGACGGUCCAGAGCGGUGGGGACACAUGAGUAUAACUUUGUAUAUUAUUAUUGCACGGAUCCUUCAACAAACAACAAAUUCAAGUAACGAUGGUGCAUUUGGAACAAAUUACCAUCGUAUGUUGAGGGAUCACUUUAUUUGUUUGUUAUGUUAUUCAAUAAAGUGGUCCCUGCCUCCGUCCACAUUUUUGGGUCAUGUAUCCGCAGCACCUGGGCUUAUAGGUCUUCUUCCUUUGUCUCCUUCUGCAAGUAACAAGAUGGGACAGGAGGGAUUCCAGUAUUUCAUAAAAACUGAUAUGGGGCUGGAGAAAAAUAGAAAACAUUCUUACCAAGCCCUAGUCCCCUGCAGCUCCCAUUUGCCCAGUCUUUUCUUGUGUGUCUGCUUCUGAGACAAGCGGUCAGAGCAGGUCCUGCCAGCUCAGCUAAUGACUUGCUCAGCACCAUAUUACUU
Hyla sarda is the source of this 1549-nucleotide long non-coding RNA. RefSeq lists it as uncharacterized. The record is from RefSeq and is a predicted model, not a curated record. Lineage: Eukaryota; Metazoa; Chordata; Amphibia; Anura; Hylidae. The transcript has 3 exons.